GUUGACCUCUGUGAACUACAUUGAAAGGAGAGCCGAACUCAACCCAAUUCUUUCCUGAGGUUCAUAGAAAAGCACAUUAAAUCAGGUUUAAUCUGAAAAGAUUGAUUUCCAGGCUAUGCUCUGAGGCAAACGAGGCUGUGUUUCUAAAUCGACUGUCCACUAAACCGAGAAUGCAGGACCCUGGAAAUGGUAGAACAAGAGAACAAGUUGGAAGGGAGUUGGGGAGGUUGCACAGUGCAGCCCCUGCACCGCGAAGGGCCAGCGUCAAGGCUGGAGCUGGCUGCUCAGGGUCCAGGUGGGUCUUGGGAAUGUCCUGGGGCAGAGGGUCCACCACCUCUCUGGGCAGCUGCUCCAGCGCUUACCCACUCCUGCAGGGAAGGCGUUCAGCAAAACGUAGCUAAACAAAAGUCAGCUGGCCCUUCACACAGCUGUAGUGAAAUAGUGUGUUUUCCUGAAAUACGAUAUAUAUGUUUAACACACACACCAAAAAAAAAAAAAAAAAAAGAAAGAAAAGGACAGUGUAUGGGAAAACAGAGAAGUCUCAGUAGGAAAUGAGUGAUUACCAACAAAUUACUGUUGAUUUACAGAGAGAAUGUACAGAGAUUUAUACGAAUGAUACCUUCUGUCAGGCUAACUGCUAAAACUGCCAAUGGAAGGGCCUUACUGUGCAAAAAUGAACAGCAGAUGCUGAUCAUGAAAAGAAGUUAAAAGUCUCAAACAGCUGCUAAGGACAACACUUGAAUUUAUGGCUGGCAGCACCAAGCAAAGCUGUCAGCUCUUGUUUCCAAGCAAGGUCUGGGGACAGGAGUCUUACAAAUGCAUCGUGAUGACUAGAAAUCCACUGUAUUUGCCUCCAGACCCCUGACU
This is a long non-coding RNA of Harpia harpyja (harpy eagle), 867 nucleotides long. RefSeq lists it as uncharacterized. The record is from RefSeq and is a predicted model, not a curated record. The transcript is spliced from 2 exons. NCBI's taxonomy places the organism in Eukaryota, Metazoa, Chordata, Aves, Accipitriformes, Accipitridae.